This 135-nucleotide small nucleolar RNA is filed under the name Nannospalax galili (Upper Galilee mountains blind mole rat). RNAcentral's name for it is "Small nucleolar RNA ACA64 (ENSNGAG00000008475.1)". It matches the Rfam family "Small nucleolar RNA ACA64". Lineage: Eukaryota; Metazoa; Chordata; Mammalia; Rodentia; Spalacidae. The record is from Rfam by way of RNAcentral.
AAAUGCUAAACUUUUCCCCUGACCUUGGUAGUGGCCAGGGUUGAGAUUCGGAGCCCAGAGUCACCAGGGGCAUCAGCUCACUGCCCACUGCCUACUGCUACGGUGUGGGAGGGUGAAACCCAGGUCCCGAAAGGC